Molecule: non-coding RNA, 26 nt
Filed under: Rattus norvegicus (Norway rat)
Lineage: Eukaryota; Metazoa; Chordata; Mammalia; Rodentia; Muridae
Source: RNAcentral
UAGGACCUGAGAACUUACCUUGUUGU